This is a long non-coding RNA of Brienomyrus brachyistius, 724 nucleotides long. RefSeq lists it as uncharacterized. The record is from RefSeq and is a predicted model, not a curated record. NCBI's taxonomy places the organism in Eukaryota, Metazoa, Chordata, Actinopteri, Osteoglossiformes, Mormyridae. The transcript is spliced from 3 exons.
UGAGCUCCCUGUGUCAGCCGAGAAGAAAAUCUUUCAAACUGUGAGAAGCUUCUAUGAGGCAGUGCUUAAGAAGAUGUUCUCCACCUUUCCCCUCGACCAUCCACUCCUGAGGGACCUGAAAGUGCUGGACCCUGCAGCUCGCCUUAACAUAACUCCAGGGACAGUGGAAAGGCUAGGGGCCCUGUUCCCCCAGUUGAGGCUGAAAGAGGAUAAGAUGAGGGAGGAAUUCACAGACUAUCAGGUGACAGAUAGCAAGCAACUCCCCCAAGAAGACAGAAUCGACAAAUUUUGGGGCCUGGUAGGAAAGGACAUGAGGUUCAGUGAGCUGCCAAAACUUAUGAAGGCUUUACUAUGCAUUCCCCAUAGCAAUGCAAGUUCAGAAAGGGUGUUUAGCAUGGUACGAAAAAUUGUUACAGAGAAUAGGAUGUCGUUAGACAACAGAACUGUUUGCGCUCUACUCUCAUGUAAAAUUAACCACUCUGGCUCAGCCCACAAAUACACUCCUUCCAAAACAGUCUUAAAGAAUGCAAAGUCUGCAACAAAUGAGUACAAUAAGUCACUAAAAGAGUAAAGAAAAGUUAUGUGAAAUGAAAAAAAAACUACAAAAAAGCAAUAUGAAAUGAAUGAGUGUGUGAAUGUGAAAAGAAUGUGGGAUGAAAAUGAAAUGUAAAUGUAAAGACAAGCAAUGUUAAAUGAACAGAAAAUAUGCAAAUAAGCCUUUAAA